GAUGAACGCUGGCGGCGUGCCUAACACAUGCAAGUCGUACGAAAAAGAAAUUUUUAGUGGCAAACGGGUGAGUAACGCGUGAGAAUUUACUCUUAUGGUAGAGGAUAACUUUUAGAAAUAUUAGCCAAAACUCUAUAUGCUUUUAAUAAGUGAACAAAGAAAUUUGCCUAAGAAAAAGCUCGAGUCUGAUUAGCUAGUUGGUAGUGUAAAAGCCUACCAAGGCGAUGAUCAGUAGCUGGUCUGAGAGGAUGAUCAGCCAAACUGAAACUGAGACACGGUCCAGACUCCUACGGGAGGCAGCAGUGAGGAAUUUUCUGCAAUGGGCGAAAGCCUGACAGAGCAACGCCGCGUGAGGGAAGAAGGCCUUCGGGUUGUAAACCUCUUUUCUCAAGGAGGAAGAUCUGACGUUACUUGAGGAAUAAGAAUCGGCUAACCCUGUGCCAGCCGCCGCUGUAA
RNAcentral lists this ribosomal RNA (456 nucleotides) under uncultured bacterium. RNAcentral's name for it is "partial 16S ribosomal RNA". It matches the Rfam family "Bacterial small subunit ribosomal RNA", at positions 28 to 523 of the family's 1533-position model. The record is from RNAcentral.